AUUUACAUAAUUUAGGUAGAAAUACUUGUUGAUAUUUUGUAUUGGGAUUUGAUUUAUUGCUUUUUUUUUUUUUUGCUAAAAUAAAGGGAUUAUUAGAUUCUUUUUUCUGGAUAUGUACCAUUUGCUAAAAUUCUCCAUUGUAAUUUUGUUGUCCGUUCGAUUUGUAUUGUAAUUGUUUUGAUUUCAAUUUCAUUUUUGGUUUUUGGAGAUUUGGAAAUGAGUGUUUUUCAAGAUCUGAAAAUUGGAAAUUGUUCAGUUUUUCAUUGAAACCGAACCGAUAAAUAUCAGUUCAAUUUGAUUUGAUUAUACUUAAAAAUCUGUUUGGUGUAGAAUUCUAAACUCUUCAAUUUUUUAUUUUUCAAAUUUGAUUUGGUUUAGAAUUCAAAAUGGUCUCCCUAUAUAUUUAAGCAUAAAUCUUAAAAUAUGUCAUAUAUAAGAAGUAAGAUGGAACAAGCACAAUGCAUGCAUUAGAUAUAAGAGCUUGGGUUUAGGUGUAUUAAGAUGAUUAGAGAAAAAGGCCAAGUCCAAAAUUGAAAUUUUCAAUUUUAAUUUCACAUGGCAUGUUUGACAGGUUAAUAAUUAGAAGGGCAAAAUAUUAGGUCUUUAAUAUCUUAAAUUUGUGGUUACAUUUUUGAACCAC
This 640-nucleotide long non-coding RNA is filed under the name Manihot esculenta (cassava). RNAcentral's name for it is "long non-coding RNA (MESC_LNC005375)". The record is from RNAcentral. Lineage: Eukaryota; Viridiplantae; Streptophyta; Magnoliopsida; Malpighiales; Euphorbiaceae.